Molecule: ribosomal RNA, 999 nt
Filed under: Cardiophorus ruficollis
Lineage: Eukaryota; Metazoa; Arthropoda; Insecta; Coleoptera; Elateridae
Description: SSU rRNA
Rfam family: Eukaryotic small subunit ribosomal RNA
Source: RNAcentral
UUGUCUCAAAGAUUAAGCCAUGCAUGUCUCAGUACAAGCCGAAUUAAGGUGAAACCGCGAAAGGCUCAUUAAAUCAGUUAUGGUUCCUUAGAUCGUACCCAAAUUUACUUGGAUAACUGUGGUAAUUCUAGAGCUAAUACAUGCAAACAGAGCUCCGACCGGAGACGGAAGGAGCGCUUUUAUUAGAUCAAAACCAAUCGGCGGCGGGCGCAAGCUUGUCGUCGUUCAUUCUGGCGAAUCUGAAUAACUUUCUGCUGAUCGCACGGUCUAGCACCGGCGACGCAUCUUUCAAAUGUCUGCCUUAUCAACUGUCGAUGGUAGGUUCCGUGCCUACCAUGGUCGUAACGGGUAACGGGGAAUCAGGGUUCGAUUCCGGAGAGGGAGCCUGAGAAACGGCUACCACAUCCAAGGAAGGCAGCAGGCGCGCAAAUUACCCACUCCCGGCACGGGGAGGUAGUGACGAAAAAUAACGAUACGGGACUCAUCCGAGGCCCCGUAAUCGGAAUGAGUACACUCUAAACCCUAUAACGAGGAUCAAUUGGAGGGCAAGUCUGGUGCCAGCAGCCGCGGUAAUUCCAGCUCCAAUAGCGUAUAUUAAAGUUGUUGCGGUUAAAAAGCUCGUAGUCGAAUCUGUGUCUCGCGCCGCCGGUUCAUCGCUCGCGGUGUUUAACUGGCGUGUCUCGCGAGACGUCCUGCCGGUGGGCUUAGCUCGCGAGGGCGGCCCAACUCUUCGAAUCCCGCCGCGGUGCUCUUCAUUGAGUGUCGAGGCGGGCCGGCACGUUUACUUUGAACAAAUUAGAGUGCUUAAAGCAGGCUAAAACUUCGCCUGAAUACAGUGUGCAUGGAAUAAUGGAAUAGGACCUCGGUUCUAUUUUGUUGGUUUUCGGAACCCCGAGGUAAUGAUUAAUAGGAACGGAUGGGGGCAUUCGUAUUGCGACGUUAGAGGUGAAAUUCUUGGAUCGUCGCAAGACGGACGGAAGCGAAAGCAUUUGCCAAAAA